Molecule: ribosomal RNA, 484 nt
Filed under: uncultured bacterium
Lineage: Bacteria
Description: partial 16S ribosomal RNA
Rfam family: Bacterial small subunit ribosomal RNA
Source: RNAcentral
AUUGAACGCUGGCGGCAGGCCUAACACAUGCAAGUCGAGCGGAUGAAGGGAGCUUGCUCCUGGAUUCAGCGGCGGACGGGUGAGCAAUGCCUAGGAAUCUGCCUGGUAGUGGGGGAUAACGUCCGGAAACGGGCGCUAAUACCGCAUACGUCCUGAGGGAGAAAGUGGGGGAUCUUCGGACCUCACGCUAUCAGAUGAGCCUAGGUCGGAUUAGCUAGUUGGUGGGGUAAAGGCCUACCAAGGCGACGAUCCGUAACUGGUCUGAGAGGAUGAUCAGUCACACUGGAACUGAGACCCGGUCCAGACUCCUACGGGAGGCAGCAGUGGGGAAUAUUGGACAAUGGGCGAAAGCCUGAUCCAGCCAUGCCGCGUGUGUGAAGAAGGUCUUCGGAUUGUAAAGCACUUUAAGUUGGGAGGAAGGGCAGUAAGUUAAUACCUUGCUGUUUUGACGUUACCAACAGAAUAAGCACCGGCUAACUUCGUG